This 447-nucleotide ribosomal RNA is filed under the name uncultured bacterium. RNAcentral's name for it is "partial 16S ribosomal RNA". It matches the Rfam family "Bacterial small subunit ribosomal RNA", at positions 29 to 523 of the family's 1533-position model. The record is from RNAcentral.
AACGAACGCUGGCGGCAGGCUUAACACGUGCAAGUCGAGCGCCCCGCAAGGGGAGCGGCAGACGGGUGAGUAACGCGUGGGAAUCUACCGUGCCCUACGGAAUAGCUCCGGGAAACUGGAAUUAAUACCGUAUACGCCCUACGGGGGAAAGAUUUAUCGGGGUAUGAUGAGCCCGCGUUGGAUUAGCUAGUUGGUGGGGUAAAGGCCUACCAAGGCGACGAUCCAUAGCUGGUCUGAGAGGAUGAUCAGCCACGUUGGGACUGAGACACGGCCCAAACUCAUACGGGAGGCAGCAGUGGGGAAUAUUGGACAAUGGGCGAAAUCCUGAUCCAGCCAUGCCGCGUGAGUGAUGAAGGUCUUAGGAUUGUAAAGCUCUUUCACCGGUGAAGAUAAUGACGGUAACCGGAGAAGAAGCCCCGGCUAACUUCGUGCCAGCCGCCGCCGUAA